Molecule: long non-coding RNA, 933 nt
Filed under: Haliotis rufescens (red abalone)
Lineage: Eukaryota; Metazoa; Mollusca; Gastropoda; Lepetellida; Haliotidae
Description: uncharacterized LOC125377225, transcript variant X3
Source: RNAcentral
UCACAGACCAGAGGGGUGGGUCGGUCACAGACCAGAGAGGUGGGUCAGUCACAGACCAGAGGGGUGGGUCGGUCACAGACCAGAGAGGUUGGUUGGAAGAGAGGUGGUUUGGUAGAGAGGUGGUUGGGUAGAGAGGUGGGUCAGUCACAGACCAGAGGGGUGGGUCGGUCACAGACCAGAGAGGUGGGUCAGUCACAGACCAGAGGGGUGGGUCAGUCACAGACCAGAGGGGUGGGUCGGUCACAGACCAGAGAGGUUGGUUGGAAGAGAGGUGGUUCGUUAGAGAGGUGGUUGGGUAGAGUGGUGGGUCAGUCACUGACCAGAGGGGUGGGUCGGAAGAGAGGUGGUUCGGUAGAGAGGUGGUUUGGUAGAGAGGUGGUUUGGUAGAGAGGUGGGUCAGUCACAGACCAGAGGGGUGGGUCGGUCACAGACCAGAGAGGUGGGUCAGUCACAGACCAGAGAGGUUGGUUGGAAGAGAGGUGGUUCGGUAGAGAGGUGGUUUGGUAGAGAGGUGGGUCAGUCACAGACCAGAGGGGUGGGUCGGUCACAGACCAGAGAGGUGGGUCAGUCACAGACCAGAGGGGUGGGUCGGAAGAGAGAUGGUUCGUUAGAGAGGUGGUUUGGUAGAGAGGUGGGUCAGUCACAGACCAGAGAGGUGGGUCAGUCACAGACCAGAGAGGUUGGUUGGAAGAGAGGUGGUUCGUUAGAGAGGUGGUUGGGUAGAGUGGUGGGUCGGUCACAGACCAGAGAGGUGGGUCAGUCACAGACCAGAGGGGUGGGUCAGUCACAGACCAGAGAGGUGGGUCAGUCACAGACCAGAGAGGUGGGUCAGUCACAGACCAGAGAGGUGGGUCGGAAGAGAGGUGGUUGGGUAGAGAGGUGGUUUGGUAGAGAGGUGGUUUGGUAGAGAGGUGGGUCAGUCACAGACCAGAG